UGAGGAAUAUUGGUCAAUGGGCGAGAGCCUGAACCAGCCAAGUAGCGUGCAGGAUGACGGCCCUAUGGGUUGUAAACUGCUUUUAUGCGGGGAUAAAGUGUGCGACGUGUCGUGCAUUGCAGGUACCGCAUGAAUAAGGACCGGCUAAUUCCGUGCCAGCAGCCGCGGUAAUACGGAAGGUCCGGGCGUUAUCCGGAUUUAUUGGGUUUAAAGGGAGCGUAGGCCGCCAGAUAAGCGUGUUGUGAAAUGUAUCGGCUCAACCGGUGAAUUGCAGCGCGAACUGUUUGGCUUGAGUGCACGGUAAGCAGGCGGAAUUCAUGGUGUAGCGGUGAAAUGCUUAGAUAUCAUGAGGAACUCCGAUUGCGAAGGCAGCUUGCUGCAGUGCGACUGACGCUGAUGCUCGAAGGUGCGGGUAUCAAACAGG
RNAcentral lists this ribosomal RNA (424 nucleotides) under Fusobacteriota bacterium. RNAcentral's name for it is "Fusobacteria bacterium partial 16S ribosomal RNA". It matches the Rfam family "Bacterial small subunit ribosomal RNA", at positions 355 to 776 of the family's 1533-position model. The record is from RNAcentral. Lineage: Bacteria; Fusobacteriati; Fusobacteriota.